AGUAAAAAUAAUACGUAAUGUAGUCGAUUUUACAACUUUACAUCUAUUGUAAACGUUUUCACGAUCACAUAUAUUUGUUUUUAAAAGUUUUAAAGAUAUAGUUGAACUCCUCAUCUCAAGGGCUUUGAUUUGAUAAAUUAUCUAUCUAAAUUUUAAA
Molecule: small RNA, 157 nt
Filed under: Arabidopsis thaliana (thale cress)
Lineage: Eukaryota; Viridiplantae; Streptophyta; Magnoliopsida; Brassicales; Brassicaceae
Description: ATSL283370
Source: RNAcentral